GAUGGUCCGGCUGAUAACACGUGCCACGCGUCACUAUGAGCUGCGUGCCACGUGUUUCCCAAGGGGAGGGGUCCCUACAUUGCCCCCCUUUUUAACUUGCCUAUUUUGCCCAAAAAAUGGGCGGGUUAAAAAUAACUGGCUUUUGAAAACUGAAGAAGUCCCUUCGUCUGACUGGGCCACGUGGCGAGUGGGGGUGCGGAAGCCAAAAAGGCAUUUUUUAUGACGAGCCGCCGACCCUGCGUAUCCCCAGACAAUAUGUCGUUUCAAUGAUAACAUGGCUGUUGGUUUGGCUUUCCGAGGGGCUGUCCUGCUAUAAAUAGGGUACUGUACCUCUUUUUGUAUUCUUUCCUACUGCAUUCUCUUGAGAGUCUUUCUUCUUACUGCUUUUUCUACGCCCUUUGCUUUUCUGAGAAACGAGAAAAAAAAGACUCCGAAAGCUCUUUUGUACCAGUGCUUUUGUAUCGC
RNAcentral lists this long non-coding RNA (465 nucleotides) under Vitis vinifera (wine grape). Its description in RNAcentral is "long non-coding RNA (VVIN_LNC005852)". The record is from RNAcentral. Lineage: Eukaryota; Viridiplantae; Streptophyta; Magnoliopsida; Vitales; Vitaceae.